RNAcentral lists this transfer RNA (58 nucleotides) under Pseudomonas aeruginosa. RNAcentral's name for it is "tRNA-Glu". It matches the Rfam family "tRNA", at positions 10 to 63 of the family's 71-position model. From Rfam's summary of the family: Transfer RNA (tRNA) molecules are approximately 80 nucleotides in length. Their secondary structure includes four short double-helical elements and three loops (D, anti-codon, and T loops). Further hydrogen bonds mediate the characteristic L-shaped molecular structure. tRNAs have two regions of fundamental functional importance: the anti-codon, which is responsible for specific mRNA codon recognition, and the 3' end, to which the tRNAs corresponding amino acid is attached (by aminoacyl-tRNA synthetases). tRNAs cope with the degeneracy of the genetic code in two manners: having more than one tRNA (with a specific anti-codon) for a particular amino acid; and 'wobble' base-pairing, i.e. permitting non-standard base-pairing at the 3rd anti-codon position. Lineage: Bacteria; Pseudomonadati; Pseudomonadota; Gammaproteobacteria; Pseudomonadales; Pseudomonadaceae. RNAcentral also lists the same sequence under 7 other names. The record is from RNAcentral.
CGUCUAGUGGCCUAGGACACCGCCCUUUCACGGCGGUAACAGGGGUUCGAGUCCCCUA